Long non-coding RNA from Lynx canadensis (Canada lynx), 2259 nucleotides. RefSeq lists it as uncharacterized. The transcript is spliced from 3 exons. The record is from RefSeq and is a predicted model, not a curated record. NCBI's taxonomy places the organism in Eukaryota, Metazoa, Chordata, Mammalia, Carnivora, Felidae.
GGAUCCUAGAACAUAAGGUAGGCUGGACAGGAAGGGUGUCACCUUCUGUAAAUUUACUAUUGUUUAGGAGAAUUCAAAGCAGAAGAAAGCAAGCCAUCAAAGGAACCGACGAGGACUAUUUCCCCCCACCUUGUUCUGAGGGUUUAAAUUACUCUGGUAUUUUAAAUGAGCUGCUUUUGAAAAAUAGGUUACUGCCAUUUAGUUGAUGACGGAAACAGAAGCCAAGAAGAGUGCAAAUUGUAAACUGACGUGCAUAAGCCAAGCGUAUUCUCUCAAAUGACAACGUUCAAGACGCAGCUAAAGUCCCCACUCGGGCGGUAAGCGUGUUACAAAGAACUAGAUCUCUUUCUGGCAUCCGCAACUUGGCCGGAGUGACCACGGAGGAGUUGAAGAGCGCUGGAAACGCUAGGUUCCUCGCCGGUCACCUGAGGGCUGCGGCCUUGGGUCAGGUUCUUGGCUCCCAGUCACUCAUUCCAAGCAAGCCAGCCAUGUGACAGGAGAGAGAUGCUCAGACAUUCCGACCCCCCGUGUGGGCCAGACUUGCGAAUGAGCAAAUCAUCCUGAAGGUUUAUCCCUCGAACCUUUACGUAACUCGAACCCAGCCCCGCCCCGUUCGGCUGAAACUGCUUCAGAAUCCCUAAGCCACAACUGCCCGGCUGAGUCCUAGCAACUCACUGACCCAUGAAAGGUAAAAAUAAACUGUUCCGAGCCACUAAGUUUAGGGGUAGUUUGUUGACAACAGUAGGUAACUGAAACAGUGUCCUAGGCUAAUAUUAUAUUUUAACUCAACAGUGUAGUUCAUUUUGAGCUCCCUGGCAUUCGAAGCAACAAGGGGAGCAGGAUGGAUUAUAUGCACUUCUUAUCAUCUUGAGUAUUAGGAUUUACCUGAAGGGCUAUUUCAUCUGACUCGUCUCCUUGUGGUCCAAUCAGAAUGAAAAUUAAACUAUCUUCUUACAUUAGAAUCUCUCCGGUCUUGACCAAAAUUACGGUUGUGCAAAUUCUGUCAUCUGCCCUGCUAGAGCAAACCAAAGAAUUACAGUUGUCACUGACAACAAAAUGUUCCUUGCAUCUGGCCCAAAUCUUUCAGACGGUAGCUCGAGCCUACUUUCUCCUGUUUGGUGCUCAGUGCCUCUUCUGCCUCCUGCCUCAUCCCCACCCCAAAUUAAGUCACAAAUGGGCUCAGUGUCUCUGGGGUCCUAAGCAGCCAAAAUUAAUGAUUAAAAUAGAAAUGCUGAAAAUAGUUGAAACUGAAGCAGAUUGGAUGAUUUAUUCAAACCUUCAGGAAAAAUUACUAUUCAGCCCAGAAUUGGAAAUUGGAUUUGUGGUUCCUAAGAAUGCAACACUUCCCUGGCGCUAGCCCCCGAAAGGGAAAGGAAACAAACAUGUAACAUACCUCUGUGACCGUCUUUGUGUCCUUUAGACCCAGGCUCUGGGAGGUCAGGAACCGCAUCUGUGUUCUGGGUAGUGCAAUGUUUAAUGCCUUAUGGUGCUUAUUAAAGCUUGUCUUCAUUAAGUGACCUUCCAAGUCUACGAUAAUGAAACACAUAAAGCUGAGUGUGAAUCGGGGAUUUCUGUUCUCUCCAGUGUGACCUUGGUGAACAGGCGUUACCUGCCUGUGGGUCCCAUUCUGGGAAGGCUGGUUAGCACGGGGGGUAUUUGAGGUCACCUCACUUACGUAGAACCUGAAUGAGGCCCAGCCAACCCUGUGAAGGUAGUGAACCUUGUCCUUGUGUCCUUGACCUUGUUUUCUGUAGUCUUCCCCCACAUUUGUCUUCACACCCCUAAGCAGGACUUCCGAGUCCUCGUAGCGAACCUCUGUGUGGACAGCCUGAAGGGUAGCAGAGAGGAGCACUCUCGAAUCCCAGCUGAGUUCCUUAUACCACAUUUUCCUAAAUACUUUCAAAUCACCAAGACAUUUCACAUCCAUAUUUCAGGUCACUGCCUCAACAAUUCCUGUGGAAUCCUGGGGGGAUGACCCUGUUAUGGGUUGAAUUGUGUUCUCUAAAAGGAUAUGCUGGGAGUCCUAACCCCUGGUACCUGCACAUAUGACCUUAUUUGCAAAUAGGGCCUUCGCAGAUGUAAUCAAGUGAAGCUGAGAUCGUUGGGUGGGCCCUGAUCCAAUAUGACCAGUGUCCUUACAAGAAGAUGGAAAUUUGCUCAUAGACAUGCACCGAGGGGUGACAAUGUGAAGACACAGAAAGAAGAAGAAGAUAUGAAGACAGAAGCAGAGAUUGGAGCCACGCACGAGGCCACAAGCCA